AGGCUCGUAGCUCAGCUGGUAGAGCAUGUGCGUACAAAUCGUACGCGGCGUCCAUGCGUGGGUUCUAAUCCUACCGAGGCCU
RNAcentral lists this transfer RNA (82 nucleotides) under Echinostoma caproni. It matches the Rfam family "tRNA". From Rfam's summary of the family: Transfer RNA (tRNA) molecules are approximately 80 nucleotides in length. Their secondary structure includes four short double-helical elements and three loops (D, anti-codon, and T loops). The record is from Rfam by way of RNAcentral. Lineage: Eukaryota; Metazoa; Platyhelminthes; Trematoda; Plagiorchiida; Echinostomatidae.